CUUGGCACCAUACCACCUGCACUUAGGCUAGGUAACCCAUCCGAAGCUAAGCAGGUUUGGGUCUGCCCAGUACUUGGAUGGGAGACCAACUAGGAAAGCUGGGUUGCUGCUGGAA
RNAcentral lists this ribosomal RNA (115 nucleotides) under Paramormyrops kingsleyae. Lineage: Eukaryota; Metazoa; Chordata; Actinopteri; Osteoglossiformes; Mormyridae. The record is from RNAcentral.